RNAcentral lists this long non-coding RNA (1684 nucleotides) under Pan troglodytes (chimpanzee). RNAcentral's name for it is "long non-coding RNA NONPTRT009746". The record is from RNAcentral. Lineage: Eukaryota; Metazoa; Chordata; Mammalia; Primates; Hominidae.
ACUAUCCCCAACUCCCCACUUCUGCCCCAAGGGUGGUCACUGCCUGUGAUACAUUCCUCAGUGUCGCCUCUGAGCCCAGGCCUCCUGCCACAAAGACUGGGCCGAGAGAUGGGGCUGGGUAAGCGGGUGCGCCUCCUGUUUGGGUUUCUUCGGGGUUUCUCUGUAGUGUCUGCUGCCCUCCUCCUGGCCUCCCAGGUUUCAGUUGUGUCUGACAGAGCAUUAGGUUUUCCUGUUACUGCUGUGUAAUAAUAAAGAAAGAUUCGGCUUUUGGCAAUCACAGACACUUUUUUCCCCUCCACCGAAUGUCAGGAUUGAAAGCUGCCUCCGAGUGGUUGGGGAUGGUUUUCUGACCCUACGGUAACUAGAUCUAAUAUAUAUCAUCAGAAAAUAUAUAUUGUAUGUUUACUCUUAUUUUCAGAAAGAGAAAAUGAAUAAAAAUGAUGACUUCAAGUGUGUCCCCAGCCAGUGUGUCAGGCCCGAGGCUCUUCUGGGCAGGAGUCCCGGGCUGCAGGGACCCCAGGGUCAAAGGCUCCACUGGUAUGUGCGGCAGCAGCCCCUCCCGUGGCACUCUGAGGAUAGCGCCUUCCCUCCAUCCUAUCCUUGGCAAACUGACUGCUGCAGCCUGCUGCUGUCCCUGACCCCUCUCCUGCCAUUGAUCCCACCUCCCCCAGAGCUGACACUGCCUCGCCUUGUGAUGCUGGCCAGAAGGCUGGGCUCCCCUUGUGGUUUUCCCCAGCUCCCUGCCAUCUAGGAGGCUCCAGGGGCCGUGGGAGAUCCCCUGGUCAGGGGCAGCCGUGGGAGAGGGGGUGGGCAUGUGGACCAGGCCAGCCGCCACCGAGGACACCUUGUGUGGCCCCAGUCCUGGCACUGGCCUGGCUCCUAGUGAGGGUGGCCAGACCCUGGGCAGGGCUUCGUCGGCUGAGCUGCCUCCUGGCUGGUGGGCCUCAGCCUGCUUCUGAGGGAGGAGCAGCCCAGGUGUCCCUCAGCCUGUUUCAGCUCCAGCCGCUCCCUCGUGUUCUGUCUGCACUUAGUCCCCCCACGUGCUGCCCACCUCACACACACCGCUGCCUUCCUGCCUGCUGGAAGCUGGGUGAGACAGCCUGCCCUCUUGCAGAGCAUCACAGGGGCACCUGGCCCUCCACUGCCCCACCUCUGACCUCUGUGGUGUCACUGUGCUGCCCUGGGGACCCCAGGGUCAAGGGCUCGAGCUGUGUGCCCAGCUGUGGCCCCUCCAAAGAGUCCAGAACCAACCAAGGCCCUUGACUGUGCAACCCUGGUUCUUGCCUCGCCUGAGAGUCUCUGCCCAAAUGCAUCUGGAGUCCCUGCCCUGCCAUGGAACUAGAGGUUGGUGAGCCCUUAAUGAGAGGGACUCUCACCCUGCCAUGUCGUCUGCCUCCCCUGAGCCCAACACCUUCGCACUCUGCCUGGGAAGCAGCUGCACAGGCCACCACGCCCAUGGCCUGCCAGCUCAGCCAUUCAGGGAGCUUGGCACUUCACCUCCCCACCCCUCCAUCGCAAGGUCGGAAGAGUGCAAGUGUGGGAUCGCUGUCCCCACCGGAGGCCCAGGACAAGCCACCCGGGUGAGGAGAGCUGGCAAGAAAGGAGGACCAUCCCUAGACACCUUGUGUUUGAAUGAGUCUGCUCAAGCCUCAGUACUUGUCUGCUCUUCAUUUUUGCAUUUCAA